This is a non-coding RNA of Xylariaceae sp. FL0594, 106 nucleotides long. Lineage: Eukaryota; Fungi; Ascomycota; Sordariomycetes; Xylariales; Xylariaceae. The record is from the annotation of a GenBank genome assembly.
GCCCUGGUAGCUCAAUUGGUUAGAGCGUCGGACUUUUAUCGGUGUUUAAGUACAAUUGGUAAUUUGAGACAUCCGAAGGCUGCGGGUUCGACCCCCGCCUGGGGCG